This 91-nucleotide small nucleolar RNA is filed under the name Galerina marginata CBS 339.88. Lineage: Eukaryota; Fungi; Basidiomycota; Agaricomycetes; Agaricales; Galerinaceae. The record is from RNAcentral.
AUCUUGUGAUGAUCAACUCAGUUCUGCUUCCGAACGAGAGCAAUCAACCUCUUGUGGACAACACUUUUUACCAAAAAAACUUUUCUGACCC